Dermacentor silvarum is the source of this 370-nucleotide long non-coding RNA. RefSeq lists it as uncharacterized. The transcript is spliced from 3 exons. NCBI's taxonomy places the organism in Eukaryota, Metazoa, Arthropoda, Arachnida, Ixodida, Ixodidae. The record is from RefSeq and is a predicted model, not a curated record.
UUCAGCCGAAUAUAUUUGUACACGUAUCGCAUAAACAACGUUCGCUCUGCUAAUUGCAAGACAAAUUAAAAAAUGCGAUUACCAGUAUAAAAUUGUUUACAAGGUGUAUUUACUAAGCUACAGAGCUCUGACGGAUACGGAAGAGAGCCCAGCUAGUGAUUUCCUCCUGCACUAUAUCCUGCCCGAGUGAUAGGCCUCAUGCAAUAUGUGUACGAUCAAAUCACUACGACGAGUGCAACUGCACAUGCGUUUCCAGAGACACAUACUGUCCACCAUCGAAUAGCGAACUUCCACCUUGCGACAGGGACCAAUACCCCAUUUGCCAAGGAUGGCAGCAUCUCGCAUCCACAUUCGUAUGCAUGUGCGUUUG